UACGUAGGGGGCAAGCGUUGUCCGGAAUCAUUGGGCGUAAAGCGCGUGUAGGCGGUUCAGUAAGUCUGCUGUGAAAGUCCAGGGCUCAACCCUGGGAUGCCGGUGGAUACUGCUGGGCUAGAGUACGGAAGAGGCGAGUGGAAUUCCCGGUGUAGCGGUGAAAUGCGUAGAUAUCCGGAGGAACACCGGUGGCGAAGGCGGCUUCCUGGACCGACACUGACGCUGAGGCGCGAAAGCUAGGGGAGCAAACGGG
RNAcentral lists this ribosomal RNA (253 nucleotides) under uncultured bacterium. Its description in RNAcentral is "partial 16S ribosomal RNA". It matches the Rfam family "Bacterial small subunit ribosomal RNA", at positions 524 to 776 of the family's 1533-position model. The record is from RNAcentral.